GCUUUCGAUAGGCGUCGACCGGCGCACGGGUGAGUAACGCGUAUCCAACCUGCCCAUAACUAAGGGAUAAUCCGUAGAAAUGCGGUCUAAUACCUUAUGUGUUCCGACGAGGACAUCUGAAUUGGAAUAAAGAUUUAUCGGUUAUGGAUGGGGAUGCGUCUGAUUAGAUUGUUGGCGGGGCAACGGCCCACCAAGUCUACGAUCAGUAGGGGUUCUGAGAGGAAGGUCCCCCACAUUGGAACUGAGACACGGUCCAAACUCCUACGGGAGGCAGCAGUGAGGAAUAUUGGUCAAUGGGCGGGAGCCUGAACCAGCCAAGUAGCGUGCAGGAUGACGGCCCUAUGGGUUGUAAACUGCUUUUGUAUGGGGAUAAAGUGCUCCACGUGUGGAGUUUUGCAGGUACCAUACGAAUAAGGACCGGCUAAUUCCGUGCCAGCAGCCGCGGUAAUACGGAAGGUCCGGGCGUUAUCCGGAUUUAUUGGGUUUAAAGGGAGCGUAGGCCGUGGAUUAAGUGUGUUGUGAAAUGUAGGCGCUCAACGUCUGACUUGCAGCGCAUACUGGUCCACUUGAGUGCGCGCAACGCGGGCGGAAUUUGUCGUGUAGCGGUGAAAUGCUUAGAUAUGACGAAGAACCCCGAUUGCGAAGGCAGCUCGCGGGAGCGCAACUGACGCUGAAGCUCGAAAGUGCGGGUAUCGAACAGGAUUAGAUACCCUGGUAGUCCGCACGGUAAACGAUGGAUGCCCGCUUUACGGCCUUCAGGCCGUGAGGCCAAGUGAAAACAUUAAGCAUCCCACCUGGGG
This 800-nucleotide ribosomal RNA is filed under the name uncultured rumen bacterium. RNAcentral's name for it is "bacterial SSU rRNA". It matches the Rfam family "Bacterial small subunit ribosomal RNA", at positions 77 to 878 of the family's 1533-position model. The record is from RNAcentral.